AUUCUUAACCAAAUUUGCCGCUGUCAUUGACCUCCCGCCCAAAAAUAAGAAUUUGUAUAUGGAGUAAACCCUCUCUCCUCUCCUCUCUGGUUUAGUCACGUCGCACCCUCAUCAUUGCAGGAAGCGCAAUAGUCAGGCACUGUGGUUUCCUCAUAAUACACAUACAACCUAACGUUAGCGGUAAAACCUGAUAAAGGUUCCGAUUGUUUUGACCAUGUAAUUCUCGCUCAGACAAGGAUGUUGACUUUGGUGUCUAUUUCAGACCUUAUGGCGUCAGAGCAUUAAAAGGGUCAGGGGCGAAGCAUGGAAACGCGGAUGCCCUAACGAAAGGGAGACAUACUGAUGACAGUCCCCGCCCCAACAGAGCUAAGGGGUGGGGGGGGUGUACAACAGGUCAGCCACCAGGAGUAGUUGGGGACGGUUACAGAGGUAACAGGAGUGAGUGCAGUUUUGACCCCGACAGGAUACAGUAAGACGCGGAGCCCAGAAGACAGUAUCCCGGGGAGGGUCUCAUGGGGAGACCUAUCCUCCUUCUUUUUGAUGUAUUAUUUAAAUAAACACCCUUGACACUGAGCUAA
Molecule: long non-coding RNA, 578 nt
Organism: Oncorhynchus gorbuscha (pink salmon)
Lineage: Eukaryota; Metazoa; Chordata; Actinopteri; Salmoniformes; Salmonidae
Exons: 3
Source: RefSeq, a predicted model, not a curated record